This is a long non-coding RNA of Monomorium pharaonis (pharaoh ant), 536 nucleotides long. RefSeq lists it as uncharacterized. Lineage: Eukaryota; Metazoa; Arthropoda; Insecta; Hymenoptera; Formicidae. The transcript has 3 exons. The record is from RefSeq and is a predicted model, not a curated record.
AUUCGGGAGACUCGAUUCGCUCCCAUCCCGUGGGUAGGCCUUCCUUUUCAAGCGGAUGCGACCAAUGCGUAGUCUUGGUGUUAUGAUCGAUAUAAUACUUUCGGCCACGGAGCGUGAAAUCGACUGACCAUCCAGGUGGCAAAGGUGACAGUUCAGGAUGAUACAUGGGUGUGGCGGUCCUCGAAAACAUGCCGUCAUUCAUUGCAGUAUUAACGGAAAGGUUGUUGUGGGGAAAUGGACUAUGACACGAGAGAAGCAUCGAUAAAAAUCAAUAUCUUCAGAUGGCUUCUUAUAUGUUUCAAUGAUUCUUGACCAGGACUGCUGCUUGGGAAUUACGAGACAUUGUAGAAAACUUUUUUUCGUGACUCGUUGAUAGAAAAUUGAUUAAAUUGUAUUUUCAAAUAUUUGUUGAUAAAUAUAUUUUGAGCAAUAUCUGUGAUGCAGGAUAUAUUAAUCUUGGCAGCAUAUCACAAUUGUAUAAAUUUAUAAAGAUCUACUUAUUAAUUGUUAGAAAUAAAAAUUUUUUUGAAACAAUA